This 539-nucleotide transfer RNA is filed under the name uncultured Prochlorococcus sp. RNAcentral describes it as "partial 16S-23S ribosomal RNA intergenic spacer". The stretch from base 212 to 284 matches the Rfam family "tRNA". Lineage: Bacteria; Bacillati; Cyanobacteriota; Cyanophyceae; Synechococcales; Prochlorococcaceae. The record is from RNAcentral.
CAGGGAGACAACAAAAUGUUUAAUAUUAUUAUUUUGUCACCUUAGGUCGAUCGGUAUCUCACAUUCUUAAUUUAUUAAGGAUUUCAUUUCCUAAGUUUUUCUAGGUCACACCCAUUAUUUUUCCUGGGCCAUUAGCUCAGGUGGUUAGAGCGCACCCCUGAUAAGGGUGAGGUCCCUGGUUCAAGUCCAGGAUGGCCCAUAUCUCUAUGUUGGGGGUAUAGCUCAGUUGGUAGAGCGCCUGCUUUGCAAGCAGGAUGUCAGCGGUUCGAGUCCGCUUACCUCCACUGAUUACCACCUCUUCCAUAAUCUGUAGAAAGGAAAAUUUUUGAGUUGUGAUCAUAAAUCUGAGCGAAUCUAGCUUCCUAAUGAAACAUUAAGAUGCUGGACUCAUUGAAUUAAUUUCAUUGUUUUCAGAGAACCUUGACAACUGCAUAGAUUAUUUUUAAAGACAAUAAGCAUCUUUAUGAUGCAGAUUUAUUAUUUGUGCGAAUGCAUUAAUAACAAUUCUAUUAAGCUGAUGCUUCAAUUUUGAAGUUAUU